AGUGAACGCUGGCGGUAGGCCUAACACAUGCAAGUCGAACGGCAGCACAGUAAGAGCUUGCUCUUACGGGUGGCGCGUGGCGGACGGGUGAGGAAUACAUCGGAAUCUACUUUUUCGUGGGGGAUCACGUAGGGAAACUUACGCUAAUACCGCAUACGACCUACGGGUGAAAGCAGGGGAUCUUCGGACCUUGCGCGAUUGAAUGAGCCGAUGUCGGAUUAGCUAGUUGGCGGGGUAAAGGCCCACCAAGGCGACGAUCCGUAGCUGGUCUGAGAGGAUGAUCAGCCACACUGGAACUGAGACACGGUCCAGACUCCUACGGGAGGCAGCAGUGGGGAAUAUUGGACAAUGGGCGCAAGCCUGAUCCAGCCAUACCGCGUGGGUGAAGAAGGCCUUCGGGUUGUAAAGCCCUUUUGUUGGGAAAGAAAAGCAGCAGGUUAAGACCCCGCUGUUCUGACGGUACCCAAAGAAUAAGCACCGGCUAACUUCGUG
This 492-nucleotide ribosomal RNA is filed under the name uncultured bacterium. RNAcentral describes it as "partial 16S ribosomal RNA". It matches the Rfam family "Bacterial small subunit ribosomal RNA", at positions 29 to 507 of the family's 1533-position model. The record is from RNAcentral.